This 1167-nucleotide ribosomal RNA is filed under the name uncultured Pezizaceae. Its description in RNAcentral is "eukaryotic LSU rRNA". The stretch from base 580 to 1167 matches the Rfam family "Eukaryotic large subunit ribosomal RNA", at positions 1 to 588 of the family's 3401-position model. Lineage: Eukaryota; Fungi; Ascomycota; Pezizomycetes; Pezizales; Pezizaceae. The record is from RNAcentral.
AGGAUCAUUAUGAAUGAUAUUUUCCCAAUUUCCCCUUGUGUAUCUACACCAUGUUGCUUCUACUAGGCUGGAACAUCUAUGAUUGAAUAUUAUAUAGUAAUAUAUUUAAUGGUAUUCAUGCCCUUCAUCCCUUUAAUUCUAGUGGUUGAAGUAGUGUCAGUGGAUAGCCUUAGUUAUAAGAAAACUCUUUGUGAAUACUAGUACAGUCUGAUUUUGUGUUAAAAUAAAUGAAAAAAAAAAACUUUCAACAACGGAUUUCUAGGCUCUUGCAUCGAUGAAGAACGCAGUGAAAUGUGAUAAGUAAUGUGAAUUGCAAAAUCUCGUAAAUCAUCGAAUCUUUGAACGUACAUUGCGCCCAGUGGUAUUCCACUAGGCAUACCUGUUUGAGUGUCCGAAUCUUUACAAUUAUCAAACUUUUAUGCAUUAUAUAUAAAGAUGUUUGGAAUAAGAUUUGAGAAAAGUAUAGCAGUAUUGUUAUACUUUCUUAAAAAUAAGAAAUAAUUUGGUUGGAUUUUCUUUAAAACCUAUUUUAUAUGUUAUAUAACAAAUGAGUUUAAGUGAAAAAAUAACGUACUAGAUUGACCUCAAAUCAGGUAGGGAUACUGACUGAACUUAAGCAUAUCAAUAAGCGGAGGAAAAGAAACCAACAGGGAUUGCCUUAGUAACGGUGAGUGAAGCGGCAAAACCUCAGAUUUGAAAUCUGGUGUCAUUUUGACAUCCGAGUUGUAAUCUGUAGAGGAGUUUUUAAGAGUAUUGUUUUGGUUAAAGUCCCUUGGGAAAGGACAUCAUAGAGGGUAAGAAUCCUGUUUAUGACCUUUGCACAUCUCUAUUUUAAAUAUCCUUCAAUGAGUCGAGUUGUUUGGGAAUGCAGCUCUAAAUGGGUGGUAAAUUCCAUCUAAAGCUAAAUAUUGGCAAGAGACCGAUAGCGCACAAGUAGAGUGAUCGAAAGAUGAAAAGAACUCUGAACAGAGAGUUAAAGAGUACGUGAAAUUGUUGAAAGGGAAGCACUUGUGACCAAACAAAAUUGCAAUUGAUCAGCCAUUAAUCUUGGUAGUGCACUCAAUUGCCAGUGGGUUAGCAUCAGUUAUAGCAGCAGGAUAAAGACCAAAAGAAUGUAGCUCCUCUUUGAGGAGUGUUAUAGCUUUUGGUUUAAUACUGCUCGAUAUA